UGCCUGUGUAACACCUCCAGUUGAGAUCCGUAUUGGUCGGAGAAGUCUAAUGUCACUGGGAAUUCCAUCCGCAUCCUUGACGAUGUAUGACUGUCCAUCACAAUGGUGUACCACAGCGCUGAACUCUUCUUGACUAAGUCUCUUGGUAACUGGAACUCGCCUGCCUGUGUAACACCUCCAGUUGAGAUCCGUAUUGGUCGGAGAAGUCUAAUGUCACUGGGAAUUCCAUCCGCAUCCUUGACGAUGUAUGACUGUCCAUCACAAUGGUGUACCACAGCGCUGAACUCUUCUUGACUAAGUCUCUUGGUAACUGGAACUCGCCUGCCUGUGUAACACCUCCAGUUGAGAUCCGUAUUGGUCGGAGAAGUCUAAUGUCACUGGGAAUUCCAUCCGCAUCCUUGACGAUGUAUGACUGUCCAUCACAAUGGUGUACCACAGCGCUGAACUCUUCUUGACUAAGUCUCUUGGUAACUGGUAUGUUGUCACCUUCAGGCUUAAGACACUUUGUUUUAGUAACACCUAUAGUUCUUUUGAACAGACAUUGGUGUCCCUUUUGAAAGGCACCCUUGUUGUGCAGGUUUUCUGUUGGAUUUUUCUUUGGCUUCAUUGUUAGCACACUGGGUGUGGUAUAUUCUCUUAGGAUAAGCCAACUGUGAACUUUUGUAUCUCUUAGCAUGUAGCAGUCUUCAGUGGAAUGGAACCUGUGGUGUGUGUUAUGUUAAUAAAUACUGUCAUGCAGUAAACUGAUGCUGUUCUGUUUUGAAUUUGUUUAUGAUUGUGGUCAAUUCUCUCAGCCAUCAGAUACUUUAGUCUUCAGUUCACUCCCAGUUUGAAAUUGCCCAUGUGUCCUGUUGACAGCUGCCAGUGUGCAUACUUCCCUCUCAUACUGUCCCAAAAUAACCUUUUUCUGGCUCACUUGAAUUUGCCAAAUCCAAUAUUUAAAUUAAGUUUUUAAUAAAAGUUCAUGCAUAUGACAUAU
Gigantopelta aegis is the source of this 979-nucleotide long non-coding RNA. RefSeq lists it as uncharacterized. The record is from RefSeq and is a predicted model, not a curated record. Lineage: Eukaryota; Metazoa; Mollusca; Gastropoda; Neomphalida; Peltospiridae. The transcript has 3 exons.